CCUACGGGGGGCUGCAGUGAGGAAUAUUGGUCAAUGGGCGCGAGCCUGAACCAGCCAAGUCGCGUGAGGGAAGACGGUCCUAUGGAUUGUAAACCUCUUUUGUCGGGGAGCAAAAGACGCCACGCGUGGCGUUCCGAGAGUACCCGAAGAAAAAGCAUCGGCUAACUCCGUGCCAGCAGCCGCGGUAAUACGGAGGAUGCGAGCGUUAUCCGGAAUUACUGGGUGUAAAGGGAGCGUAGGCGGGGAUGCAAGUUGGGUGUCAAAACUACCGGCUCAACUGGUAGUCGCCCUCAAAACUGCAGCUCUUGAGUGAAGUAGAGGCAGGCGGAAUUCCUAGUGUAGCGGUGAAAUGCGUAGAUAUUAGGAGGAACACCAGUGGCGAAAGCGGCUCUCUGGUCUGUAACUGACGCUGAGGUUCGAAAGCGUGGGUAGCAAACAGGAUUAGAUACCCUUGUAGUC
Molecule: ribosomal RNA, 459 nt
Filed under: uncultured bacterium
Lineage: Bacteria
Description: partial 16S ribosomal RNA
Rfam family: Bacterial small subunit ribosomal RNA
Source: RNAcentral